Molecule: long non-coding RNA, 1921 nt
Organism: Phyllostomus discolor (pale spear-nosed bat)
Lineage: Eukaryota; Metazoa; Chordata; Mammalia; Chiroptera; Phyllostomidae
Exons: 2
Source: RefSeq, a predicted model, not a curated record
ACCGGUGGGCGGGCUUGGGCCUGGGGAAGUGGAAAAAUAACGCCAGGCGAGUCAACCCCGCCACGGAAAAACCUCUGGCCUGGGGAUGUCUUAACUGGCCGAGGGGCUAGAAAGCGUUUGGCGUCGUAAGGGAAAGGCCUGCCGAGGUAGGGAAGUGUCGGCGGAAUCUUGGAAGUGAUGAGAUUGGAAUAACGAGAAUGGUUUGCGUGACAUCUCUGUAACCUGGCAGCCAAGGAGCAUGGACUGGAAUGCGUGUGCAUGAACAAUGAUGACUUCACUGUACUAGUCAGUGGGGACAGCAGACACCUUUGAGUGAGCAUGCGUACUGUGUGGCCAUCACAUUCAAAAUGACUGAGCAAGUAGAGCAACGAAUCUGCAUCAAAUUUUGCGUUAAGCUUGAACGUUCUACUGCAGAAACUAUUCAGAUGAUUCAGAAGGCCUUUGGACACAAUGCAAUGAGUGCAGAGCAAAUAAAAGUGUGGUACAAAUGCUUCAAAGAUGGUCAGGAAUCUGUUCAAAGUGAUCCACGUCCUGGAAGGCCUGCAACAAGCAGAGCACCUAAGAAUGUUGAACAUGUACGGGCUGCAAUCAACAAAGAUCGGCGGCCAAGGUGACUCAGCCCCCCUACAGCCCAGAUUUGGCACCCUGGGACUUCUGGCUCUUCCUAAAACUAAAAUCACCUUUGAGAGGGAGGAGAUUUCAGACCAUCGAUGAGAUUUUGGAAAAUACAAUGGGGCCACUGAUUGCGAUUCCAACAAAGGAUUUUACAUUGUUUGAACAGUGGAAGAGACUCUGGGAGAACUGUGUGAGGUCCCAAGGUGCCUGCUUUGAAGGGGACUGAGGCGUCAUUGUCCUGUGUACAGUGUUUCUUGUACCUUGUAUCUUCUUCAACAAAUGUGUCUAUUUUUCAUGGUACAUGGCUGGAUACUUUCUGGACAGACCCACUAUACCGUUUUUGCAGGAAUAGUUACUUAGUUUAUCAUGAACGUCUCCCCAUAUCAUUUAAUAUUCUUCUUCAAUAUAUAAUUCUAUCAUGUGAGUGUGCCUUUGGGUAUUUCCGUCUUUUUCGGACCGUAAGACGCACUUCUUUUCCCCUCAAAUUUGGGAGGAAUAAUGGUUGUUAAUGCUGCUGUUGAGUUCUGUUUACAUUGACAUGGGCGAAAUAUUAGGCUAUUUAUGUUACUGAAUAUUUUACCACAUUUUUUGCUUCAAAAUUUGUUUUCCUAUUUUCCUCUAAAAUCUAGGUGCAUCGUAUGGUCCAAAAAAUAGGGUAUGUCUCACAGUUCAACAAAUCGUAGGCAUUGAGUUUUUCACUUCCUUGAAGAGAUUGGGGUGUUUCAAUGGGCUGCGUGUUUCCCUGACUGACAGGGUGCCCUGGGAAUGUCUGCGGGACCAAAGGCACUGCCUGGGGGUGGGGCAGCCUUCUCUGCUGGGGGUGAUGACGUCGCAAGGAAUCCUUUGCUCUGUGCCCUGGUAGUGGCAGAGCUAUGACAGGCAAAGCCACUUAAAGCCUGAAAACACCGGGAGGGUUGCCCUUUAACCCCUGCUUUUCUUGGGGAAUCCUGUUCUCUAACCUGAAGAAAAAGUGGUUGGGUGACAGAGGAUUGGGGGAGGGUUUGGAAAUCAGGGCUCUCUUAGUAAAACCUCACGGAACUCCUGGCAUAGGUAUCUCCCUUUUCCAGACCAGGAAAGGGAGGCUCAGCGAGAGAAUUGGUUUAAGCCUGCAUGACUAGUCAGUGCACCACCCUUAGGUUGGGUGUGAACUUCGAACUCUGUCCACCAUACUUUCCACUGUUCCUUAAAACUGGUGGAUGUAAUGCCAUUCUUCUUUUUUACCCCUGUGGGAAAUUUGUCAGUUUUCUGAAAGAUACUUGUUAUCUGCUACAAUAAAUAAAUAAAUAAAUAAAAUCUGACUAACCAA